This 448-nucleotide ribosomal RNA is filed under the name uncultured bacterium. Its description in RNAcentral is "bacterial SSU rRNA". It matches the Rfam family "Bacterial small subunit ribosomal RNA", at positions 329 to 794 of the family's 1533-position model. The record is from RNAcentral.
CGCCAGACUCCUACGGGAGGCAGCAGUGGGGAAUAUUGCACAAUGGGGGAAACCCUGAUGCAGCGACGCCGCGUGAGUGAAGAAGUAUUUCGGUAUGUAAAGCUCUAUCAGCAGGGAAGAAAAUGACGGUACCUGAUUAAGAAGCCCCGGCUAACUACGUGCCAGCAGCCGCGGUAAUACGUAGGGGGCAAGCGUUAUCCGGAUUUACUGGGUGUAAAGGGAGCGUAGACGGCAGCACAAGUCUGGAGUGAAAUGCCGGGGCUUAACCCCGGAACUGCUUUGGAAACUGUGCAGCUAGAGUGCAGGAGAGGUAAGUGGAAUUCCUAGUGUAGCGGUGAAAUGCGUAGAUAUUAGGAGGAACACCAGUGGCGAAGGCGGUCUGCUGGACAGCAACUGACGCUGAGGCGCGAAAGCGUGGGGAGCAAACAGGAUUAGAUACCCGUGUAGC